AAUAUUUUUCUAGUAUAUUUAGUACAUUUGACUUCCAAUCAAAAAGAUUGAUUCAUAUCAAGAAAAAUA
This 69-nucleotide transfer RNA is filed under the name Compsorhipis davidiana. Its description in RNAcentral is "tRNA-Gly". The record is from RNAcentral. Lineage: Eukaryota; Metazoa; Arthropoda; Insecta; Orthoptera; Acrididae.